This 523-nucleotide ribosomal RNA is filed under the name uncultured Glomeromycotina. Its description in RNAcentral is "SSU rRNA". It matches the Rfam family "Eukaryotic small subunit ribosomal RNA", at positions 569 to 1092 of the family's 1831-position model. Lineage: Eukaryota; Fungi; Glomeromycota. The record is from RNAcentral.
AGCAGCCGCGGUAAUUCCAGCUCCAAUAGCGUAUAUUAAAGUUGUUGCAGUUAAAAAGCUCGUAGUUGAACCUCGGGGUCUACCCAUUGGUCAGGCUUAAUGUCUGCACUGGUGAGAUGGAUCUCUACCUUCUGAGGAACUUUCAUGCCAUUUAUUUGGUGUGAUGGGAAAUCAGGACUGUUACUUUGAAAAAAUUAGAGUGUUUAAAGCAGACUAUCGUCUGAAUACAUUAGCAUGGAAUAAUGAAAUAGGACGGACUGAUUCUAUUUCGUUGGUUUCUAGGAUCACCGUAAUGAUUAAUAGGGAUAGUUGGGGGCAUUAGUAUUCAAUUGUCAGAGGUGAAAUUCUUGGAUUUAUUGAAGACUAACUACUGCGAAAGCAUUUGCCAAGGAUGUUUUCAUUAAUCAAGAACGAAAGUUAGGGGAUCGAAGACGAUCAGAUACCGUCGUAGUCUUAACCAUAAACUAUGCCGACUAGGGAUCGGACGAAGUUAAUUUUAUAAUGACGCGUUCGGCACCUUACG